UACGGAGGAUGCGAGCGUUAUCCGGAUUUAUUGGGUUUAAAGGGUGCGUAGGCGGCUUAGUAAGUCAGCGGUGAAAUUUUGCAGCUUAACUGUAACAGUGCCGUUGAUACUGCCAGGCUAGGAUUUGGUUGCUGUGGGUGGAAUGUGUGGUGUAGCGGUGAAAUGCUUAGAUAUCACACAGAAUAUCGAUUGCGAAGGCAGCUCUCAAAGCCAAGAUUGACGCUGAGGCACGAAAGUGUGGGGAUCAAACA
This 251-nucleotide ribosomal RNA is filed under the name uncultured prokaryote. RNAcentral's name for it is "partial 16S ribosomal RNA". It matches the Rfam family "Bacterial small subunit ribosomal RNA", at positions 524 to 774 of the family's 1533-position model. The record is from RNAcentral.